Molecule: non-coding RNA, 176 nt
Organism: Tsukamurella pulmonis
Lineage: Bacteria; Bacillati; Actinomycetota; Actinomycetes; Mycobacteriales; Tsukamurellaceae
Source: Rfam
GGCGCCAUUCGUUCGCUGAGGCUCCUUCGCGGAAACAGGCCAGCGACCCCGAACGUCGAGAGACGCCCCGGGUCAGGACAGGUGCAUCCGGAUUAAGGGUGCGCCCCGAUUGGCUCCCGUACUGCGCGUACGGGUUCACGCCGCGAAGUGCUGAAGGUCUGACGUGGAGGGGCGUU